GACGAACGCUGGCGGCGUGCUUAACACAUGCAAGUCGAACGGAAAGGCCCUGCUUUUGUGGGGUGCUCGAGUGGCGAACGGGUGAGUAACACGUGAGUAACCUGCCCUUGACUUUGGGAUAACUUCAGGAAACUGGGGCUAAUACCGGAUAGGAGCUCCUGCUGCAUGGUGGGGGUUGGAAAGUUUCGGCGGUUGGGGAUGGACUCGCGGCUUAUCAGCUUGUUGGUGGGGUAGUGGCUUACCAAGGCUUUGACGGGUAGCCGGCCUGAGAGGGUGACCGGCCCCAUUGGGACUGAGAUACGGCCCAGACUCCUACGGGAGGCAGCAGUGGGGAAUAUUGCACCAUGGGCGGAAGCCUGAUGCAGCAACGCCGCGUGCGGGAUGACGGCCUUCGGGUUGUAAACCGCUUUCGCCUGUGACGAAGCGUGAGUGACGGUAAUGGGUAAAGAAGCACCGGCUAGCUACGUG
This 468-nucleotide ribosomal RNA is filed under the name uncultured bacterium. RNAcentral describes it as "partial 16S ribosomal RNA". It matches the Rfam family "Bacterial small subunit ribosomal RNA", at positions 28 to 507 of the family's 1533-position model. The record is from RNAcentral.